GAUGAACGCUGGCGGCGUGCCUAAUACAUGCAAGUCGAGCGAACAGAUGAGAAGCUUGCUUCUCUGAUGUUAGCGGCGGACGGGUGAGUAACACGUGGGUAACCUACCUAUAAGACUAGGAUAACUCCGGGAAACCGGGGCUAAUAACGGAUAAUAUUUUGAACCGCAUGGUUAAAUAGUGAAAGACGGUUUCGGCUGUCAAUCAUAGAUGGACCCGCGCCGUAUUAGCUAGUUGGUAAGGUAACGGCUUACCAAGGCGACGAUACGUAGCCGACCUGAGAGGGUGAUCGGCCACACUGGAACUGAGACACGGUCCAGACUCCUACGGGAGGCAGCAGUAGGGAAUCUUCCGCAAUGGGCGAAAGCCUGACGGAGCAACGCCGCGUGAGUGAUGAAGGUCUUCGGAUCGUAAAACUCUGUUGUUAGGGAAGAACAAAUUUGUUAGUAACUGAACAAGUCUUGACGGUACCUAACCAGAAAGCCACGGCUAACUACGUGCCAGCCGCCGCGGUAA
RNAcentral lists this ribosomal RNA (514 nucleotides) under uncultured bacterium. RNAcentral's name for it is "partial 16S ribosomal RNA". It matches the Rfam family "Bacterial small subunit ribosomal RNA", at positions 28 to 523 of the family's 1533-position model. The record is from RNAcentral.